Molecule: long non-coding RNA, 1599 nt
Organism: Medicago truncatula (barrel medic)
Lineage: Eukaryota; Viridiplantae; Streptophyta; Magnoliopsida; Fabales; Fabaceae
Exons: 5
Source: RefSeq, a predicted model, not a curated record
ACACUAAACUCUAUCUUCCAUCUCAAAACGCAUCAACGCGACAUUUCUACUCUUCACUGUUCGAAAACCUUCUCUGCCGUCGCCGCCACACCGAGCCUUGCCGCGACCACCACCUACAACCUCCCUGCUUCAACCUUCUUUGGUUUUUCUAUUCUCAUUUCCACGCAAUUUGUAGAUGUCAAAUCUAGGGUUUGCGAUUCGAAGCAGAAGAAUCGCUAUCUCGCAGAUCUACACGAAGUUGUCACCAUUAGUAAGGGAAUGACUUCAAGAUGGAAUUCUUAGCUCAUGACAAAUCAACUAGUACUAGAGAUGUUUGAAAGAAUUUUGAGUGUGGAGAUUCGAUUAAUGCAUGAAAUGAUUUGAAUGUGUUUGUACAGAUUUAGACUUUUAGUAAUAAAAUACAGCAGGAUGUUCUUUUUAUUACAUCACAGCAGGUUAUUUUAAUACAUGAAACAAUGAGUGUCAUUUUGUUUAAAAGAGUAGUUAAUCUUGAUGGAAAACAGGUUACAAAAAGUUAAGUAAAUUUUGUUACUCGCAAAGUUACAAUGUGUUAGUCAUGUUUGGUAAAUUUGAGAAGUUUUUCAUUCAUGUUGAUUUUCAUGAUUUUUCCUCAGGAAAGUUGCCACUAUAAUGCUCAAUCUACGAAUUAUCCUUUCUUAUAUGCAUUGUUGAUUUUUAUUAAUGGUUCCGUUUUUAUUUGUGACUCUUUCAUAACUUGUAGGCAUUUGUUGUUAUGUUUUUAUGGAAUAUUUGGCAAUUGGCAUUGGCUUCAUUCUCACAAGGAGAUAAAAGAAAUUAAGAUUUGAAGGUAAUAACUAUCUUUCUUGAUUGUUUUCGAGUCUUCUAAUAUUGGAUGUUCUUACAGGCACAUUGUUCAUUCUCUAAAGUCAUUAUACUUUUUUGUCUUCAUCACCAUGAUACUGAAGAGGGUUGUUGAUCAUUUAGCAUGCCGUUGUGUGGUCAAUUUGGUAGGAGUGGAGUGGUUUUAUUUUUAAUAAUAAAGUGGUGCAUUGAAGAGGUUGUGGAUAAUGUAAAGGCCAUGUCGUGGUGGUAUCUAGGAAGAACCGCUGAAAAUCCUUGUAUGCUAUAUGAGCGGAUUUGGGAGUUGAUAGGUUUCUUUGAUAUGUAAAUUUGGUUGACAAUAUCGUGAGUGCCACAAGAGAAGCUCUGAUAGAUGGAGGGUGCCUGAAAACUCAACCUGGCUGCUUGACCCACAUCAUAUAAAUAUAAGAAGGCAUAUGCACAGAUUUAUAAGGCCAGAAAAUAUUCCCGUUGAACAUGGAGGAUUGAUUCAACCCAAAGACUUUAAGAAUGGUCCCCCUCAACCAUGUUUUAAGUUAUAAUUGUUGAAGCCUGAAGGAGGAGAAAAAGCUAACAUACAAAUAGAAGGAAUUGAGGUUUCAAGUAUAACUUUAGUGUUUUAAGUAUAAUUUUGUAACUUUGUCAUUCUAAUUUAUGCUUCUAGGUAUAACUAUAUAUAAUUUUGUAAAUUUAUACUUUUCAGUGUAUAGCGUAUUAACUCUAAUAUUGUGGUAUGAUUUAGUGUGUGUAAUUAUAAUAUUGUAAUUGUAUGUUAUUAAUAGAUGAUUUUCGAUCAAA